AAAUGCGAUAAGUAGUGUGAAUUGCAGAAUUCAGUGAAUCAUCGAAUCUUUGAACGCACCUUGCGCCCCUCGGUAUUCCGUGGGGCAUGCCUGUUCGAGCGUCAUCUACACCCUCAAGCUCUGCUUGGUGUUGGGCGUCUGUCCCGCCUCCUUCGCGCGCGGACUCGCCCCAAAUCCAUUGGCGGCGGCCCUUGCCUCCCUCUCGCGCAGCACAUUGCGCUUCUCGAGGCGCGGCGGACCGCGUCCAGCAAGCAACCGUCACACCGUCUUUGACCUCGGAUCAGGUAGGGAUACCCGCUGAACUUAAGC
Molecule: unclassified non-coding RNA, 309 nt
Filed under: plant metagenome
Description: partial contains 5.8S ribosomal RNA, internal transcribed spacer 2, and large subunit ribosomal RNA
Rfam family: 5.8S ribosomal RNA (bases 1-104)
Source: RNAcentral